RNAcentral lists this ribosomal RNA (303 nucleotides) under uncultured bacterium. Its description in RNAcentral is "partial 16S ribosomal RNA". It matches the Rfam family "Bacterial small subunit ribosomal RNA", at positions 507 to 807 of the family's 1533-position model. The record is from RNAcentral.
AGCAGUAGCCGCGGUAAUACGUAGGGUGCAAGCGUUAAUCGGAAUUACUGGGCGUAAAGCGUGCGCAGGCGGUUUUGUAAGUCUGUCGUGAAAUCCCCGGGCUCAACCUGGGAAUGGCGAUGGAGACUGCAAGGCUAGAAUCUGGCAGAGGGGGGUAGAAUUCCACGUGUAGCAGUGAAAUGCGUAGAUAUGUGGAGGAACACCGAUGGCGAAGGCAGCCCCCUGGGCUAAGAUUGACGCUCAUGCACGGAAGCGUGGGGAGCAAACAGGAUUAGAUACCCGCGUAGUCCCUGUCUCUUAUAC